AACGAACGCUGGCGGCAGGCUUAACACAUGCAAGUCGAGCGCCCUAGCAAUAGGGAGCGGCGCACGGGUGAGUAACGCGUGGGAACGUACCAUUUAGUGGGGGAUAACUUCGGGAAACUGAAACUAAUACCGCAUACGCCCGAGAGGGGAAAGAUUUAUCGCUAAAUGAUCGGCCCGCGUGAGAUUAGGUAGUUGGUGGGGUAAUGGCCUACCAAGCCUACGAUCUCUAGCUGGUCUGGGAGGAUGAUCAGCCACACUGGAACUGAGACACGGUACAGACUCCUACGGGAGGCAGCAGUGGGGAAUAUUGGACAAUGGGGGAAACCCUGAUCCAGCCAUGCCGCGUGAAUGAUGAAGGCUUUAGGGUUGUAAAGUUCUUUCACCGAUGAAGAUAAUGACGGUAGUCGGAGAAGAAGCCCCGGCUAACUUCGUGCCAGCAGCCGCGGUAA
This 449-nucleotide ribosomal RNA is filed under the name uncultured bacterium. RNAcentral describes it as "partial 16S ribosomal RNA". It matches the Rfam family "Bacterial small subunit ribosomal RNA", at positions 29 to 523 of the family's 1533-position model. The record is from RNAcentral.